AGAGUUUGAUUCUGGCUCAGGAUGAACGCUGGCGGCAGGCCUAAUACAUGCAAGUCGGACGGCAGCAUGCCGUAGCAAUACGGUGAUGGCGAGUGGCGUACGGGUGCGUAACACGUGUGCAACCUGCCCCGCACAGGGACAAAACGCCGGGAAACUGGCGCUAAUAUCCCAUGACGCCGCGCUGGGGCAUCCCUUUGCGGCUAAAGAGGCGACUCGGUGCGGGAUGGGCACGCGUCCCAUUAGAUAGUUGGCGGGGUGACGGCCCACCAAGUCCGCGAUGGUAGGGGUUCUGAGAGGACAGGCCCCCCACACUGGAACUGAGACACGGUCCAGACUCCUACGGGAGGCAGCAGUAAGGAAUAUUGGUCAAUGGGAGGAAUCCUGAACCAGCCAUGCCCGCGUGCGGGAGGAAGGCCCUACGGGUCGUAAACCGCUUUUGCCCGGGGAUAGUGCGGCCCACGAGUGGGCCGAGUGAAGGUACCGGGCGAAUAAGCAUCGGCUAACUCCGUGCCAGCAGCUGC
Molecule: ribosomal RNA, 521 nt
Filed under: uncultured bacterium
Lineage: Bacteria
Description: bacterial SSU rRNA
Rfam family: Bacterial small subunit ribosomal RNA
Source: RNAcentral